UCGUAAAGACUUAUUUUAGUGAUGCCUUGAUUUACAAUUUCUCGGAGGUUUCGCGAAAACAAUCGAUGUUUUAAUUCUUUUGGAAAGACUUAAAACUUUAACCAAUCAUAUCGCGAUGAAUUGGAAUCACGUGACCAGAGCAAAAUUUCCACCGCCGCCAUAAUUUCUCUCUCAUAAUGGCUGCGAUCCCGGGAUGCGAUGGAAGAAUAUUUGACCAAAAGCGUUCCGGAGGACAUUAUUCCCGACAUUAUUGCAAAAUUAAAAGGAAGUGCUCUAUUGUGAUGGAGAAGGGUUCAUCCAAACUUGUCUUAAAAACUCCAGAAUGUCACAGCAACAGAAGAAAAUGAGGAAACCGAAUAAGACCAGCGAUGAAAAAGAAGAUGAAGCAGGUAUAGAUGAUGCACUAUUGGAAGAGACUGGUGCAAAGGAAAUGGUUGAAUGGAUGAAGCAUGCCAGCCCAACCAAAGAAAACUUACCAGCAAUAAGAGAAUACUUUCAGCGAACUUAUGAGUAUCGGCAGGCACAGGUCAAAGGGGAACUCUCUGUUAUCGAGCUCAUAGACCUGUAUCCAUGAUACAAGGAUUUAUCCAACUUGAUCAAUGUUGAAUUUGCACUUAUGUAUCCUGAGGAGUCUGGGAAUUUUCUGAAAAAAUGGGGGACUACCUUCAGGGAGAACAUCAUCACCACUGCCAAGGAGGAUUAUGCUACAAUACAACAGGUCAUGAAAGAUGAAGUUUCUGACAGAAGGAACUGAUUUGAGGAUGACGACUGGAAACUGAGAAAAUGUUCAGCCAACCUUUCCUUUUGAAGAAGAGCAAGCGACACUACUUGGUGUUGGACCAAAAAAGUCCUUGUGGCAGGUGAUAUACCUUUGUUGAUAGAUUUGACAGGCUCUUCAAAGCCCAUUACUGUUUCGAUGUCCACUUUGCCCAAGUUUUGGCACCAUUAUGAAUAUUUAGCAGCCUACGUAUAUGGGGUGUUGCACCCAUCCAAGGUGAGACCUCCAGUGCGCUCACUUGCAUCAGUUAUUAUGUCUGAUCAGUAAUCCGUACAAACUGAACCCUCUUCGUGUUAGACCAAAAUGUUAUACUUUGAUCAUCACUAAAUAGGCAGGCCAAUUCACAUCGUGAAUUGAUAUAGAAAAGUACUGAACACAGCACAACUGCAGCAGACACAGCUUCUGUCUUACGUUUGACACGCGCAUCGGUAUCUAUGAUGUGCGUGUUAGUAGGAUUACCUUGCGCGCAGAUGAAGAAAAGCCUUACAUUUCCUGCCUGUUUAGUGAUAAUCAAAGUAGAGUGGCAGGUGAUGGCUGUGUCAAAUUAUUUGACAGGCUAUUAGAAGCCCAUUUUGUUGUUUUAAAGGGAUGG
RNAcentral lists this long non-coding RNA (1370 nucleotides) under Lytechinus variegatus (green sea urchin). RNAcentral describes it as "uncharacterized LOC121420748". The record is from RNAcentral. Lineage: Eukaryota; Metazoa; Echinodermata; Echinoidea; Temnopleuroida; Toxopneustidae.